GAUUUCUGGUCGGACGAGCCUGGCCCGCCUGUUUUGGGUUUCGAUCCUGGCAGGUGUGUGUCUCGUCUCUUGCUCCGACCAUCCCUUCCAGAGACUCGGCUGUGCCCUUCGGGGAUUGCAGCCGCUAUCUGGAUCUUUUACUUUGAAAAAAUUAGAGUGUUUAAAGCAGGCUUACGCUAUUGAAUACAUUAGCAUGGAAUAAUAAUUUAGGACUUUUGUCCUAUUUUGUUGGUUUCUAGGACGAAAGUAAUGAUUGAUAGGGACAGUUGGGGGUGCUAGUAUUCAGCGGCCAGAGGUGAAAUUCUUGGAUUCGCUGAAGACUAACUAAUGCGAAAGCAUU
This 340-nucleotide ribosomal RNA is filed under the name uncultured Limnofila. Its description in RNAcentral is "bacterial SSU rRNA". The stretch from base 122 to 340 matches the Rfam family "Eukaryotic small subunit ribosomal RNA", at positions 736 to 955 of the family's 1831-position model. The record is from RNAcentral. Lineage: Eukaryota; Cercozoa; Cercomonadida.